This 472-nucleotide ribosomal RNA is filed under the name uncultured bacterium. RNAcentral's name for it is "bacterial SSU rRNA". It matches the Rfam family "Bacterial small subunit ribosomal RNA", at positions 28 to 500 of the family's 1533-position model. The record is from RNAcentral.
GAUGAACGCUGGCGGCGUGCUUAACACAUGCAAGUCGAACGAAGCGCUUGGAUGGAAUUCUUCGGAAGGAAGCUCAAGUGACUGAGUGGCGGACGGGUGAGUAACGCGUGGGUAACCUGCCUCAUACAGGGGGAUAACAGUUAGAAAUGACUGCUAAUACCGCAUAAGCACACGUGAUCGCAUGAUCGAGUGUGAAAAACUCCGGUGGUAUGAGAUGGACCCGCGUCUGAUUAGCUAGUUGGUGGGGUAAUGGCCUACCAAGGCGACGAUCAGUAGCCGGCCUGAGAGGGUGAACGGCCACAUUGGGACUGAGACACGGCCCAAACUCCUACGGGAGGCAGCAGUGGGGAAUAUUGCACAAUGGGGGAAACCCUGAUGCAGCGACGCCGCGUGAAGGAUGAAGUAUUUCGGUAUGUAAACUUCUAUCAGCAGGGAAGAAAAUGACGGUACCUGACUAAGAAGCCCCGGCUAA